GGUAGCCUAGUGGUUAGAGUGUAGAGGGGGCAGGUAGCCUAGUGGUUAGAGUGUAGAGGUGGCAGGUAGCCUAGUGGUUAGAGUGUAGAGGAGGCAGGGUAGCCUAGUGGUUAGAGUGUAGAGGUGGCAGGUAGCCUAGUGGUUAGAGUGUAGAGGUGGCAGGGUAGCCUAGUGGUUAGAGUGUAGAGGUGGCAGGGUAGCCUAGUGGUUAGAGUGUAGAGGAGGCAGGGUAGCCUAGUGGUUAGAGUGUAGAGGUGGCAGGGUAGCCUAGUGGUUAGAGUGUAGAGGUGGCAGGGUAGCCUAGUGGUUAGAGUGUAGAGGAGGCAGGGUAGCCUAGUGGUUAGAGUGUAGAGGUGGCAGGGUAGCCUAGUGGUUAGAGUGUAGAGGUGGCAGGGUAGCCUAGUGGUUAGAGUGUAGAGGAGGCAGGUAGCCUAGUGGUUAGAGUGUAGAGGUGGCAGGGUAGCCUAGUGGUUAGAGUGUAGAGGUGGCAGGGUAGCCUAGUGGUUAGAGUGUAGAGGUGGCAGGUAGCCUAGUGGUUAGAGUGUAGAGGUGGCAGGGUAGCCUAGUGGUUAGAGUGUAGAGGUGGCAGGUAGCCUAGUGGUUAGAGUGUAGAGGUGGCAGGGUAGCCUAGUGGUUAGAGUGUAGAGGUGGCAGGUAGCCUAGUGGUUAGAGUGUAGAGGUGGCAGGGUAGCCUAGUGAUUAGAGUGUAGAGGGGGCAGGUAGCCUAGUGGUUAGAGUGUAGAGGUGGCAGGGUAGCCUAGUGGUUAGAGUGUAGAGGGGGCAGGGUAGCCUAGUGGUUAGAGUGUAGAGGUGGCAGGGUAGCCUAGUGGUUAGAGUGUAGAGGCGGCAGGGUAGCCUAGUGGUUAGAGUGUAGAGGGGGCAGGGUAGCCUAGUGGUUAGAGUGUAGAGGUGGCAGGGUAGCCUAGUGGUUAGAGUGUAGAGGCGGCAGGGUAGCCUAGUGGUUAGAGUGUAGAGGUGGCAGGGUAGCCUAGUGGUUAGAGUGUAGAGGCGGCAGGGUAGCCUAGAGGUGGCAGGUAGCCUAGUGGAUAGAGUGUAGAGGCGGCAGGGUAGCCUAGUGAUUAGAGCCUAGAGGUGGCAGGUAGCCUAGUGGUUAGAGUGUAGAGGCGGCAGGGUAGCCUAGUGGUUAGAGUGUAGAGGUGGCAGGUAGCCUAGU
Long non-coding RNA from Oncorhynchus keta (chum salmon), 1174 nucleotides. RefSeq lists it as uncharacterized. The transcript is spliced from 4 exons. The record is from RefSeq and is a predicted model, not a curated record. Lineage: Eukaryota; Metazoa; Chordata; Actinopteri; Salmoniformes; Salmonidae.